This 580-nucleotide ribosomal RNA is filed under the name uncultured Actinomycetes bacterium. RNAcentral's name for it is "bacterial SSU rRNA". It matches the Rfam family "Bacterial small subunit ribosomal RNA", at positions 52 to 648 of the family's 1533-position model. Lineage: Bacteria; Bacillati; Actinomycetota; Actinomycetes. The record is from RNAcentral.
CACAUGCAAGUCGAGCGAUGAGAUCACUUCGGUGAAGGAUUAGCGGCGAACGGGUGAGGAACACGUGAAGAAUCUGCCUUCAACUCUGGGAUAACUCCGGGAAACCGGGGCUAAUACCGGAUAUGAGCCUUGAUCGCAUGAUCGGGGCUGGAAAGUUUUCCGGUUGAAGAUGACUUCGCGGCCUAUCAGCUUGUUGGUGAGGUAAUGGCUCACCAAGGCGACGACGGGUAGCCGGCCUGAGAGGGCGACCGGCCACACUGGGACUGAGACACGGCCCAGACUCCUACGGGAGGCAGCAGUGGGGAAUAUUGGGCAAUGGAGGAAACUCUGACCCAGCGACGCCGCGUGAGGGAUGAAGGCCUUCGGGUUGUAAACCUCUUUCAGUAGGGAAGAAGCGAAAGUGACGGUACCUACAGAAGAAGCACCGGCUAACUAUGUGCCAGCAGCCGCGGUAAUACAUAGGGUGCAAGCGUUGUCCGGAAUUAUUGGGCGUAAAGAGCUCGUAGGUGGUUCGAUACGUCGGAUGUGAAAAUCAGGGGCUCAACCCCUGGCCUGCAUCCGAUACGGCCGAGCUAAAGUU